CCUAGGGAGGCAGCAGUGGGGAAUAUUGCACAAUGGGGGAAACCCUGAUGCAGCAACGCCGCGUGAGUGAAGAAGUAUUUCGGUAUGUAAAGCUCUAUCAGCAGGGAAGAAGAAAGACGGUACCUGACUAAGAAGCCCCGGCUAACUACGUGCCAGCGCCGGCGGUAAUACGGAGGGGGCAGUCGUUAUCCGGAUUUACUGGUUGUAAGGGGGGGGUAGACGGCUGUGCAGGUCUGAAGUGAAAGCCCGUGGCUCAACCGCGGAACUGCUUUGGAAACUGUAUAGCUUGAGUACUGGAGAGGCAGGCGGAAUUCCUAGUGUAGCGGUGAAAUGCGUAGAUAUUAGGAGGAACACCAGUGGCGAAGGCGGCCUGCUGGACAGAAACUGACGUUGAGGCUCGAAAGCGUGGGGAGCAAACAGGAUUAGAUACCCCAGUAGUC
Molecule: ribosomal RNA, 440 nt
Filed under: uncultured bacterium
Lineage: Bacteria
Description: partial 16S ribosomal RNA
Rfam family: Bacterial small subunit ribosomal RNA
Source: RNAcentral